RNAcentral lists this unclassified non-coding RNA (305 nucleotides) under plant metagenome. RNAcentral describes it as "partial contains 5.8S ribosomal RNA, internal transcribed spacer 2, and large subunit ribosomal RNA". The stretch from base 1 to 105 matches the Rfam family "5.8S ribosomal RNA", at positions 50 to 154 of the family's 154-position model. The record is from RNAcentral.
GAAAUGCGAUAAGUAAUGUGAAUUGCAGAAUUCAGUGAAUCAUCGAAUCUUUGAACGCACAUUGCGCCCGCCAGUAUUCUGGCGGGCAUGCCUGUUCGAGCGUCAUUUAAACCAUCAAGCCCCCGGCUUGUGUUGGGGACCUGCGGCUGCCCGCAGGCCCUGAAAAACAGUGGCGGGCUCGCUGUCACACCGAGCGUAGUAGCAUACAUUCUCGCUCAGGGCGUGCUGCGGGUUCCGGCCGUUAAACGACCUUCAUAACCCAAGGUUGACCUCGGAUCAGGUAGGAAGACCCGCUGAACUUAAGC